GACGGGCGCUGGCGGCGUGCUUAACACAUGCAAGUCGAACGGAAAGGCCCUGCUUUUGUGGGGUGCUCGAGUGGCGAACGGGUGAGUAACACGUGAGUAACCUGCCCUUGACUUUGGGAUAACUUCAGGAAACUGGGGCUAAUACCGGAUAGGAGCUCCUGCUGCAUGGUGGGGGUUGGAAAGUUUCGGCGGUUGGGGAUGGACUCGCGGCUUAUCAGCUUGUUGGUGGGGUAGUGGCUUACCAAGGCUUUGACGGGUAGCCGGCCUGAGAGGGUGACCGGCCACAUUGGGACUGAGAUACGGCCCAGACUCCUACGGGAGGCAGCAGUGGGGAAUAUUGCACAAUGGGCGGAAGCCUGAUGCAGCAACGCCGCGUGCGGGAUGACGGCCUUCGGGUUGUAAACCGCUUUCGCCUGUGACGAAGCGUGAGUGACGGUAAUGGGUAAAGAAGCACCGGCUAACUACGUG
RNAcentral lists this ribosomal RNA (468 nucleotides) under uncultured bacterium. RNAcentral's name for it is "partial 16S ribosomal RNA". It matches the Rfam family "Bacterial small subunit ribosomal RNA", at positions 28 to 507 of the family's 1533-position model. The record is from RNAcentral.